This 260-nucleotide long non-coding RNA is filed under the name Homo sapiens (human). RNAcentral describes it as "non-protein coding lnc-INSIG1-3:1". The record is from RNAcentral. Lineage: Eukaryota; Metazoa; Chordata; Mammalia; Primates; Hominidae.
GUGCAUCCUGAGGCCCAAGUCCUCCUCACAGUGGCUUCACUGGGUGCUGGGACUCUGCAGGGACCGAGCUGUUGGUGCUCCAGCAUUCAGGGAGCUCCUGCCUUGGGGUGGACAGACAGCAGACAACAGCUUCUGCCGUGCUCCCAGAUGAGAGCCAGAGCCCUGCCUAUCGGGAGGCCACACUCAUGCCCAAGACUUCUAGGCCUCAGCAGUGCUCCCAAGGGUGUGGCACCAGGUGAAGCAGGGCAGGUGGAAUGCAG